CCCCUAGUAACGGCGAGUGAAGAGGGAAAAGCUCAAAUUUUGAAUCCGGUGUCUUUGGCAUCUGAGUUGUAAUCUAGAGAAGUGUUUUCUGCCUUGGACCACACAUAAAUUCCCUGGAAUGGGGUGUCAUAGAGGGUGAGAAUCCCGUUUGUGGUGUGGACUACCUUGGCUCUGUGAUACACUCUCAACGAGUCGAGUUGUUUGGGAAUGCAGCUCAAAAUGGGUGGUAAAUUCCAUCUAAAGCUAAAUACUGGCGAGAGACCGAUAGCGAACAAGUACCGUGAGGGAAAGAUGAAAAGCACUUUGGAAAGAGAGUGAAACAGUACGUGAAAUUGUUGAAAGGGAAGCGUUUGAAGUCAGUCACAUUGGUCGGAAUUCAGCCUGGCUUCUGCCUGGUUUACUUUCUGGCAAAUGGGUCAGCAUCAAUUUCGAUUGAGGGAGAAAGACUUGAGGAAUGUGGCUGUCUUCGGGCAGUGUUAUAGCCUCUUGUUGUAUGUCUCGAUUGGGAUUGAGGAAUGCAGCACACCUUAUGGCCGGGGUUCGCCCUCGGUAUGUGCUUAGGAUGUGGCAUAA
This 573-nucleotide ribosomal RNA is filed under the name uncultured Sebacinales. Its description in RNAcentral is "eukaryotic LSU rRNA". It matches the Rfam family "Eukaryotic large subunit ribosomal RNA", at positions 77 to 633 of the family's 3401-position model. The record is from RNAcentral. Lineage: Eukaryota; Fungi; Basidiomycota; Agaricomycetes; Sebacinales.